AGAGUUUGAUCCUGGCUCAGGAUGAACGCUAGCGGUAGGCUUAACACAUGCAAGUCGAGGGGUAACAGGGGUUUCGGCCCGCUGACGACCGGCGCACGGGUGAGUAACACGUAUGCAACCUGCCUUUAACCGGAGGAUAGCUCCGAGAAAUCGGAAUUAAUACUCCAUAAUAUCUUAUUAUCGCAUGAUAUAAAGAUUAAAGCUCCGGCGGUUAAAGAUGGGCAUGCGGGACAUUAGCUUGUUGGUGAGGUAACGGCUCACCAAGGCAACGAUGUCUAUGGGGUCUUAAAGGAUGGUCCCACACACUGGUACUGAGACACGGACCAGACUCCUACGGGAGGCAGCAGUGAGGAAUAUUGGGCAAUGGGCGAAAGCCUGACCCAGCCAUACCGCGUGCAGGAUGACGGCUCUAUGAGUUGUAAACUGCUUUUGUACGGGAAGAAAAAUCUCUACGUGUAGAGAACUGACGGUACCGUACGAAUAAGGAUCGGCUAACUCCAUGCCAGCAGCCGCGGUAAUACGGAGGAUCCAGGCGUUAUCCGGAUUUAUUAGGUUUAAAGGGUACGUAGGCGGAAAAGUAAGUCAGUGGUGAAAUCCUGCAGCCCAACUGUAGAACUGCCAUUGAAACUGUUUUUCUUGAGUAUAGUUGAGGUGGGCGGAAUGUGUCAUGUAGCGGCGAAAUGCUUAGAUAUGACACAGAACACCGAUUGCGUAGGCAGCUCACUAAACUAUCACUGACGCUGAGGUACGAAAGCGUGGGGAGCGAACAGGAUUAGAUACCCUGGUAGUCCACGCCGUAAACGAUGAUUACUCGUUGUGUGCGAUAUAUUGUACGCGACUGAACGAAAGUAUUAAGUAAUCCACCUGGGAGUACGUUGGCAACAAUGAAACUCAAAGGAAUUGACGGGGGCCCGCACAAGCGGAGGAACAUGUGGUUUAAUUCGAUGAUACGCGAGGAACCUUACCUGGACUUAAAUGCAAAACGACCGGUGCCGAAAGGUGCUUUCCCUUCGGGGCGGAUUGCAAGGUGCUGCAUGGUUGUCGUCAGCUCGUGCCGUGAGGUGUCGGGUUAAGUCCCAUAACGAGCGCAACCCCUAUUGUUAGUUGCUAACAGGUAAUGCUGAGGACUCUAACGAAACUGCCGGUGUAAACCGUGAGGAAGGUGGGGAUGACGUCAAAUCAGCACGGCCCUUACGUCCAGGGCUACACACGUGUUACAAUGGCCGAUACAGUGGGCAGCUACUUGGCAACAAGAUGCUAAUCUCCAAAGUCGGUCUCAGUUCGGAUCGAAGUCUGCAACUCGACUUCGUGAAGUUGGAUUCGCUAGUAAUCGUAUAUCAGCAAUGAUACGGUGAAUACGUUCCCGGGCCUUGUACACACCGCCCGUCAAGCCAUGGAAGCUGGGGGUACCUGAAGUCUGUAACCGUAAGGAGCGGCCUAGGGUAAAACUAGUGACUGGGGCUAAGUCGAAACAAGGUA
RNAcentral lists this ribosomal RNA (1479 nucleotides) under metagenome. RNAcentral's name for it is "bacterial SSU rRNA". It matches the Rfam family "Bacterial small subunit ribosomal RNA". The record is from RNAcentral.